GAUGAACGCUAGCUACAGGCUUAACACAUGCAAGUCGAGGGGAAACGAUAGAGAAGGCUUGCUUUUUCUAGGCGUCGACCGGCGCACGGGUGAGUAACGCGUAUCCAACCUGCCCAUCACUUGGGGAUAACCUUGCGAAAGUAAGACUAAUACCCAAUGAUAUCUCUAGAAGACAUCUGAAGGAGAUUAAAGAUUUAUCGGUGAUGGAUGGGGAUGCGUCUGAUUAGCUUGUUGGCGGGGUAACGGCCCACCAAGGCAACGAUCAGUAGGGGUUCUGAGAGGAAGGUCCCCCCACAUUGGAACUGAGACACGGUCCAAACUCCUACGGGAGGCAGCAGUGAGGAAUAUUGGUCAAUGGGGCGAGAGCCUGAACCAGCCAAGUAGCGUGCAGGAUGACGGCCCUAUGGGUUGUAAACUGCUUUUAUAAGGGAAUAAAGUGAGUCUCGUGAGACUUUUUGCAUGUACCUUAUGAAUAAGGACCGGCUAAUUCCGUGCCAGCAGCCG
Molecule: ribosomal RNA, 504 nt
Filed under: uncultured bacterium
Lineage: Bacteria
Description: bacterial SSU rRNA
Rfam family: Bacterial small subunit ribosomal RNA
Source: RNAcentral